This 497-nucleotide ribosomal RNA is filed under the name uncultured bacterium. RNAcentral's name for it is "partial 16S ribosomal RNA". It matches the Rfam family "Bacterial small subunit ribosomal RNA", at positions 28 to 507 of the family's 1533-position model. The record is from RNAcentral.
GAUGAGCGCUGGCGGCGUGCCUAAUACAUGCAAGUCGAGCGAACAGACGAGGAGCUUGCUCCUCUGACGUUAGCGGCGGACGGGUGAGUAACACGUGGAUAACCUACCUAUAAGACUGGGAUAACUUCGGGAAACCGGAGCUAAUACCGGAUAAUAUAUUGAACCGCAUGGUUCAAUAGUGAAAGACGGUUUUGAUGUCACUUAUAGAUGGAUCCGCGCCGCAUUAGCUAGUUGGUAAGGUAACGGCUUACCAAGGCAACGAUGCGUAGCCGACCUGAGAGGGUGAUCGGCCACACUGGAACUGAGACACGGUCCAGACUCCUACGGGAGGCAGCAGUAGGGAAUCUUCCGCAAUGGGCGAAAGCCUGACGGAGCAACGCCGCGUGAGUGAUGAAGGUCUUCGGAUCGUAAAACUCUGUUAUUAGGGAAGAACAAAUGUGUAAGUAACUAUGCACGUCUUGACGGUACCUAAUCAGAAAGCCACGGCUAACUACGUG